GGCAGAUCAAUGCGCCACACUUGUACAGGCGAAUAAUGCUGGUACAUAUAAUACGCAGUGCAGGAACACACACACACAUCUGUAAUCUGUAAUUCAUUUUCUUCUUCCCAUUUCCUGACACUGACUCUGUUUGGCUAAGUAUUUUUCUCUUACACUAAAUUAGCACCGGUCAUCAGCCACCCAACAGCUAGCCCGCGGUACUUUUUACUCGCAACAAAUCAGACCACAUACAGCCGGACAGAGUCGGUGUUCUGUCUUUUUUUUUUCGAUUACUUUGUUCUGUCUUGUUCUGCUUGUACUGAUGAGGUUUCUCCUAUCUUCCGUUGGGCUCGCCCGUUGGGACCACACGUCGACAACGCGGUGGGCUGGACGCCCAAGCCCGGUCAACCAAUCAAUGAGUCAGCCACACACACAGGACGGCGGACUCGCACACGGGUCUUCGUGUGUGGCCCUGGGAGUUCCCAAGAGGAGUGGCCGGCACGCAGCGGCGAAGCAGCGGCCGACGCGAGCCCAGAUCAUCGCCGAGGAAUUAUCUCCGUCGCCAUCUGCCGGCCGUGGGGACGCGCGACACGGCGCGGGCAGGGGGUGCUUCUCCCCUCGCCUCCUCCGGCCCUCCGCCAACGUGGACGCGCUGCCAGCCCGCAACGCGACGCCGGCCCCGUCGACGUCCGCUUCCGCGGGGUGCAGCGAACGUGGCGCCCCACUUGUGGCGCUCUCUCCCCCGCCGGGCGGCGGCUACUUAACCACCCCCCGGCAGCGUGCGGCGGGGAGCGGGAGCCACCGGCGACUGAGUUACUGGUGAGCAAGCGGUUUGAAUCAUCUAGCUGCGACAAUGAAGCCCAAGCCUCUCGUCUGCGUGGCGGCGGGGGAGGGUUUAGUGCGAGCGGGGGGCGCCGGGUGGGCGUGGAGGCCGAGGCCGCGCGGCGCGAGGUUGGCGGGGGUGUCGCCCAAGUGUUCCCACGCGGCGGCGGCGGCAGAAGGCGCGGUGCACUCGGAGCACCACCACCGCCGCCGCGGCGUUCGCGGGGUGUUGUUCCGCCCGGUGGGGUUUCCCCGGACGGAGGACGCUUGGAAGCUGGAGGAGCGGAUCGAGAAGGUCAUCUUCGCCUGCCGCUUCAUGACCUUCCUCGGCAUCGGCGGCUUGCUCGCCGGCUCCAUCCCUUGCUUCCUCAAGGGAUGGGUUUAUGUGAUGGAUGCCUUCGUCGAGUACUACUUACACGGCGGUGGAACUGUCGUCCGAAUGCUGCUUGAAGCCAUUGACUUGUUUCUCAUUGGAACGGUCAUGUUUGUCUUCGGGACGGGCUUGUACGAGCUGUUCAUCAGUAAUAUGGACAUGUCUUACGGCUCCAACCUCUUUGGCUUGUUCAGUCUUCCGGAACGACCCAAGUGGCUGGUAAUGCAGUCGGUGAAUGAUCUUAAGACAAAGCUGGGUCAUGUCAUUGUCAUGAGUCUACUAGUUGGCAUCUUCGAGAAGAGCAUGGGGGUGACCAUCACAUCAUGUGCUGACCUCUUUUUCUUCGCUGCAUCUAUUUUCAUCUCCUCAGGUUGCCUCUACCUACUUUCCAGGCUUAAUAAAUAGCAUCAAAGGAGGGAGCCAUGCCUGAAAAAAGUGUCUCUGUACAUAAGCAAUAGGUCUGUUGUGUUGCUGUGCAGCAUCUCAGGUUAUGUUUGGACAGUCAAAAAAUAGGGAGUGGGAGGGUCCCUUUAUGUACUCAUGUGGGUCGGCAGUUGCAGUGAGGCACUACCACUCUACAUAGUAGGAUAAUGAGAUAGUAUCAUCAUGUAUAUGUAACCUGAUGUAUAUCGUCUAUGCAAUUAAUAAUAGAGAUUCUCUGGGACGAACUGAUUAAUAGUGUCACGGCAAUUUCAUACAGUUUUGUUUUCUUAGUACGGGUGCUUUUGAAGAGAGCUUCACUACUUCAUGUACAUGUGUAACUUCUGAUAUGUUUUAUAAAAGGCGAUUAACAUGUC
RNA transcript from Panicum virgatum (switchgrass), 1971 nucleotides. RefSeq lists it as uncharacterized. The record is from RefSeq and is a predicted model, not a curated record. The transcript is spliced from 4 exons. Lineage: Eukaryota; Viridiplantae; Streptophyta; Magnoliopsida; Poales; Poaceae.